AGUGGCGAACGGGUGAGUAAUACAUCGGAACAUGUCCUGUAGUGGGGGAUAGCCCGGCGAAAGCCGGAUUAAUACCGCAUACGAUCUGAGGAUGAAAGCGGGGGACCUUCGGGCCUCGCGCUAUAGGGUUGGCCGAUGGCUGAUUAGCUAGUUGGUGGGGUAAAGGCCUACCAAGGCGACGAUCAGUAGCUGGUCUGAGAGGACGACCAGCCACACUGGGACUGAGACACGGCCCAGACUCCUACGGGAGGCAGCAGUGGGGAAUUUUGGACAAUGGGCGAAAGCCUGAUCCAGCAAUGCCGCGUGUGUGAAGAAGGCCUUCGGGUUGUAAAGCACUUUUGUCCGGAAAGAAAUCCUUGGUUCUAAUAUAGCCGGGGGAUGACGGUACCGGAAGAAUAAGCACCGGCUAACUACGUGCCAGCAGCCGCGGUAAUACGUAGGGUGCAAGCGUUAAUCGGAAUUACUGGGCGUAAAGCGUGCGCAGGCGGUUUGCUAAGACCGAUGUGAAAUCCCCGGGCUCAACCUGGGAACUGCAUUGGUGACUGGCAGGCUAGAGUAUGGCAGAGGGGGGUAGAAUUCCACGUGUAGCAGUGAAAUGCGUAGAGAUGUGGAGGAAUACCGAUGGCGAANGCAGCCCCCUGGGCCAAUACUGACGCUCAUGCACGAAAGCGUG
This 673-nucleotide ribosomal RNA is filed under the name uncultured Burkholderia sp. RNAcentral describes it as "bacterial SSU rRNA". It matches the Rfam family "Bacterial small subunit ribosomal RNA", at positions 94 to 763 of the family's 1533-position model. Lineage: Bacteria; Pseudomonadati; Pseudomonadota; Betaproteobacteria; Burkholderiales; Burkholderiaceae. The record is from RNAcentral.